This 130-nucleotide ribosomal RNA is filed under the name Halomonas sp. KAO. Its description in RNAcentral is "partial 16S ribosomal RNA". It matches the Rfam family "Bacterial small subunit ribosomal RNA", at positions 1404 to 1533 of the family's 1533-position model. The record is from RNAcentral. Lineage: Bacteria; Pseudomonadati; Pseudomonadota; Gammaproteobacteria; Oceanospirillales; Halomonadaceae.
AUGGGAGUGGACUGCACCAGAAGUGGUUAGCUUAACCUUCGGGAGAGCGAUCACCACGGUGUGGCUCAUGACUGGGGUGAAGUCGUAACAAGGUAGCCGUAGGGGAACCUGCGGCUGGAUCACCUCCUUA